GCCGCUGCGGUGAUAGGUAGCUGUUGCAACUUUCUCACCGUCAUUUACAUCGGAUUUGUUUGUGCUCACACUUUACCGGUUUUCUACGAGAGAUACGAGGAUCAGGUUGACGACUUCCUUUAUAACAUGUUUGGGCAGCUUCAGAAUCAAUACCAGAAGCUGGAUUCCAGUGUACUGAGCAAAAUACCCAAGGCAAACCUCAAGUCUAAGAAGUCUCUCUAGAUUCACCUGUUUCUCCUGGUUUAUUUAUUCGAUGAUCGGGAACCCUCUAAACUGGUCCCUAAUGAUA
Molecule: unclassified non-coding RNA, 289 nt
Filed under: Hevea brasiliensis (rubber tree)
Lineage: Eukaryota; Viridiplantae; Streptophyta; Magnoliopsida; Malpighiales; Euphorbiaceae
Source: RNAcentral